RNAcentral lists this ribosomal RNA (465 nucleotides) under uncultured bacterium. RNAcentral describes it as "partial 16S ribosomal RNA". It matches the Rfam family "Bacterial small subunit ribosomal RNA", at positions 28 to 507 of the family's 1533-position model. The record is from RNAcentral.
GACGAACGCUGGCGGCGUGCUUAACACAUGCAAGUCGAACGGAAAGGCCCUGCUUGCAGGGUACUCGAGUGGCGAACGGGUGAGUAACACGUGGGUGAUCUGCCCUGCACUUCGGGAUAAGCCUGGGAAACUGGGUCUAAUACCGGAUAGGAGCCAUUUUUAGUGUGAUGGUUGGAAAGUUUUUUCGGUGUAGGAUGAGCUCGCGGCCUAUCAGCUUGUUGGUGGGGUAAUGGCCUACCAAGGCGGCGACGGGUAGCCGGCCUGAGAGGGUGGACGGCCACAUUGGGACUGAGAUACGGCCCAGACUCCUACGGGAGGCAGCAGUGGGGAAUAUUGCACAAUGGGCGCAAGCCUGAUGCAGCGACGCCGCGUGGGGGAUGACGGCCUUCGGGUUGUAAGCUCCUUUCGCUAGGGACGAAGCUUUUUGUGACGGUACCUAGAUAAGAAGCACCGGCUAACUACGUG